GGGUGGAUAGAUCACUGGUAGAGCACGUGCUUAGCAAGCACAAAGUCCUGGCUUCAAUCCCUAGUCCUACCCA
RNAcentral lists this transfer RNA (73 nucleotides) under Camelus bactrianus (Bactrian camel). It matches the Rfam family "tRNA". From Rfam's summary of the family: Transfer RNA (tRNA) molecules are approximately 80 nucleotides in length. Their secondary structure includes four short double-helical elements and three loops (D, anti-codon, and T loops). Further hydrogen bonds mediate the characteristic L-shaped molecular structure. tRNAs have two regions of fundamental functional importance: the anti-codon, which is responsible for specific mRNA codon recognition, and the 3' end, to which the tRNAs corresponding amino acid is attached (by aminoacyl-tRNA synthetases). tRNAs cope with the degeneracy of the genetic code in two manners: having more than one tRNA (with a specific anti-codon) for a particular amino acid; and 'wobble' base-pairing, i.e. permitting non-standard base-pairing at the 3rd anti-codon position. RNAcentral also lists the same sequence under 2 other names. Lineage: Eukaryota; Metazoa; Chordata; Mammalia; Artiodactyla; Camelidae. The record is from Rfam by way of RNAcentral.